Molecule: ribosomal RNA, 293 nt
Filed under: uncultured bacterium
Lineage: Bacteria
Description: partial 16S ribosomal RNA
Rfam family: Bacterial small subunit ribosomal RNA
Source: RNAcentral
GUGUCAGCAGCCGCGGUAAGACGAACCGUGCGAACGUUAUUCGGAAUCACUGGGCUUAAAGCGCGUGUAGGCGGAUGGGAACGUCGGAAACUGAAAGCCCCCGGCUCAACCGGGGAAGGGGUGCCGAAACGACCUGUCUGGAGGGACGUAGGGGGACCUGGAACUUCCGGUGGAGCGGUGAAAUGCGUUGAGAUCGGAAGGAACGCCCGUGGCGAAAGCGAGGUCCUGGACGUUUACUGACGCUGAGACGCGAAAGCUAGGGGAGCAAACGGGAUUAGAUACCCCGGUAGUCC